AUGGCGCGGCGGUGGGCGGCUGCGGCCCUGCUGUGCCUGGCCGUCUUGGCGGCGGCGGCGGCGGCGUCCGUGCUGGCGGCCGCAGUGGAGGGCGCGGUCACCUACGACCGGAAGGCGGUGCUCAUCAGCGGCGAGAGGAGGAUCCUCUUCUCCGGAUCCAUACAUUACCCCCGGAGCACCCCAGAGAUGUGGGAAGGGCUGAUUCAGAAGGCGAAAGACGGAGGCUUGGACGUGAUCCAGACCUACGUCUUCUGGAACGGGCACGAACCAACCCCCGGAAACUACAACUUCGAAGGGAGGUACGAUUUGGUCAGGUUCAUUAAGACGGCCCAGAAGGCCGGGCUGUUCGUGCAUCUCCGCAUCGGUCCCUACAUUUGCGGGGAGUGGAAUUUCGGCGGCUUUCCGGUCUGGCUGAAGUAUGUUCCGGGCAUCAGCUUCAGGACCGACAACGAGCCUUUCAAGGCGGCAAUGCAGGGGUUCACCGAGAAGAUUGUGGGCAUGAUGAAGAGUGAGGAGCUCUUUGCUUCCCAAGGUGGCCCUAUUAUCCUUUCUCAGAUUGAGAAUGAGUAUGGGCCAGAAGAGAAAGAGUUUGGGGCUGCUGGCAAGUCAUACAGUGACUGGGCGGCAAAGAUGGCCGUGGGAUUGGACACCGGUGUGCCGUGGGUGAUGUGCAAGCAGGAAGAUGCACCAGAUCCAGUGAUAAACGCAUGCAAUGGUUUCUACUGUGAUGCAUUUACACCGAACUCACCUUCCAAGCCUACGAUGUGGACUGAAGCUUGGACUGGUUGGUUUACCGAAUUUGGUGGGACCAUCCGUAAACGACCAGUUGAAGAUCUUUCAUUUGCUGUUGCUCGCUUUGUGCAGAAGGGUGGCUCUUUUAUCAACUACUACAUGUAUCAUGGUGGAACAAAUUUUGGGCGCACCGCUGGAGGUCCCUUCAUCACCACAAGCUAUGAUUAUGACGCCCCACUUGAUGAAUAUGGACUUGCAAGAGAACCAAAGUAUGGACAUCUUAAAGAACUUCAUAGAGCUAUUAAGUUAUGUGAGCCGGCAUUGGUUUCUGUUGAUCCAACUGUGACUUCCCUUGGAAGUAUGCAAGAGGCCCAUGUCUACCGAUCUCCAUCUGGUUGUGCAGCCUUUCUCGCAAACUAUAAUUCUAACUCUCAUGCAAAAGUUGUCUUCGACAAUGAGCAUUAUAGUCUUCCACCUUGGUCAAUCAGCAUCCUUCCUGAUUGCAGAACAGUUGUUUAUAACACUGCAACGGUUGGUGUUCAGACAUCUCAAAUGCAGAUGUGGUCCAAUGGGGCCUCUUCAAUGAUGUGGGAGAGGUAUGAUGAGGAGGUUGGUUCACUCGCAGCUGCUCCGUUGCUCACCACAACUGGUCUACUGGAACAGCUUAAUGUCACGAGAGACACCAGUGAUUAUCUUUGGUACAUGACCAGUGUGGAUGUAAGCCCCUCUGAGAAGUUUCUACAAGGUGGCAAGCCUUUGUCUCUCUCUGUGCAAUCUGCCGGCCAUGCCUUGCAUAUCUUUAUCAAUGGACAGCUACAAGGUUCUGCUUCUGGAACCAGGGAAGAUAAAAGAAUCUCAUACAAGGGCAAUGUUAACCUUCGUGCCGGUACUAACGAAAUUUCACUGCUGAGUGUUGCUUGUGGGCUACCGAAUAUCGGGGUUCAUUACGAGACAUGGAAUACUGGUGUCAAUGGUCCUGUUGUGCUUCAUGGUUUGGAUGAAGGUUCGCGAGAUCUGACCUGGCAGACAUGGACCUAUCAGGUUGGUCUGAAAGGUGAACAGAUGAACCUGAACUCCUUAGAAGGUGCAAGUUCAGUUGAAUGGAUGCAAGGAUCACUGAUAGCACAAAACCAAAUGCCAUUGGCAUGGUAUAGGGCAUACUUUGAUACUCCAAGUGGUGAUGAACCGCUGGCUCUGGAUAUGGGUAGCAUGGGUAAGGGACAAAUCUGGAUAAAUGGACAAAGCAUUGGACGGUACUCAUUAGCAUAUGCAACUGGGGACUGCAAAGAUUACAGUUACACGGGGUCAUUCCGGGCAACCAAAUGUCAAGCAGGUUGCGGUCAGCCGACACAACGUUGGUAUCAUGUGCCAAAAUCCUGGUUGCAGCCAUCUAGAAAUCUGUUAGUUGUUUUCGAGGAACUUGGCGGGGAUACUUCGAAGAUUUCCCUUGUGAAGAGAUCAGUCUCAAGUGUCUGUGCUGAUGUAUCAGAGUUUCAUCCAAGUAUCAAGAACUGGCAGACUGAGAGCUCAGGGGAAGCUAAGCCUGAGUUACGCAGGUCGAAGGUGCAUCUAAGAUGCGCACCUGGGCAGUCUAUUUCUGCCAUCAAGUUUGCAAGCUUCGGGACGCCCUCUGGGACUUGCGGAAGUUUCGAGCAAGGGGAGUGUCAUUCAACAAAGUCACAGACUGUUCUUGAGAAAUGCAUUGGGAAACAAAGAUGUGCCGUCGCCAUCUCCCCCGACAACUUCGGUGGAGACCCCUGCCCGAAUGUGAUGAAGAGGGUGGCGGUCGAGGCUGUGUGUUCUCCUGGUACAUAG
This 2547-nucleotide ribosomal RNA is filed under the name Triticum aestivum (bread wheat). RNAcentral's name for it is "partial small subunit ribosomal RNA". The record is from RNAcentral. Lineage: Eukaryota; Viridiplantae; Streptophyta; Magnoliopsida; Poales; Poaceae.